AUUUAACACAUGCUGCUAAAUCUAUACUUUACCCCUUAUAUCAGGAUAAUUUCAAGGGAUCAAAGAUUUAAAUAUUUUUUUAAAAGAUAGUAAAAGAAAUCAUAGAGGUCUUAUAAAUAAAAUCAAACCAUGAUAAAUGUAGUCUAAAGAAGAAAAGAGAGAUUUUUCACUUUGCACCUUUUUGUACUUUUAAAAAUUUUGCACCAUGGGAUCAAGAAUCAAUUCGUUUUUUAAAGAUUACCUAAUUGACCUUAAAAAUUUCCCUCUCCUU
RNAcentral lists this long non-coding RNA (271 nucleotides) under Bos taurus (domestic cattle). RNAcentral describes it as "long non-coding RNA NONBTAT015177". The record is from RNAcentral. Lineage: Eukaryota; Metazoa; Chordata; Mammalia; Artiodactyla; Bovidae.